This 102-nucleotide microRNA precursor is filed under the name Oikopleura dioica. Its description in RNAcentral is "microRNA odi-mir-1490b precursor". The stretch from base 10 to 89 matches the Rfam family "mir-1490 microRNA precursor family". The record is from miRBase by way of RNAcentral. Lineage: Eukaryota; Metazoa; Chordata; Appendicularia; Copelata; Oikopleuridae.
CGCCGGUCUUUCGCGAGGCAGUGAGUUGAUAGCGCCCUGUAGAGUGGGUUUAGAACUAAACGAGGCCUAUCCUUACUCGCCACAACGAAGCGCUGACUGUUC